This 2124-nucleotide unclassified non-coding RNA is filed under the name Limulus polyphemus (Atlantic horseshoe crab). RNAcentral's name for it is "uncharacterized LOC106474033, transcript variant X2". The record is from RNAcentral. Lineage: Eukaryota; Metazoa; Arthropoda; Merostomata; Xiphosura; Limulidae.
UUUAUACGUAGGACAGUUUACACAUAACAUUCUCGUUGUGUAUAUAGUAUAAAAUUAUAAAUAUGUUUGUCUUUGUAAAACUGGAAUAUUUUGAAAGUUGUAUAAAUAUAAUGCUGCAUGUGAAUUGGUAUUCAUAGAAAACUUUGUAAACGUCACCCUUUGUGUUUGUGCGCCACCACAGCCCUUGUUAUUAAAACCAUUUUUGUAUACUGGGUAUGAAAGGUUUGGAAAGUGCCCAAGUAAUGUUGAAAUCCAGUGCUUUUUAUAAUACUAUUUUUGUGGAUCUAAAAUGUUAUGGCCAAACAAAAAAUAAUGGCAUCACUGGGAGUACAUACUUUAAACCAAGUUCCAAUGUUUUUGCAACAACCUGGCACAUUUUUUAAUAUUGCAGGUCAAGCUCAAACCAUCUUUACUCUUCCAGUCAAUAGUCAAGUGUCCAAUCAUGUCAGGACACUUCUGCUACCCAGCCAGCCAGUUCAAGACGUAGCUCUUCUUUCUGUCAUUCCCAGUGAAUCUGGAGGACAUGAUUCUGCACCAGCAUUUAAUAUUGGAGCUCUGUCACAUAACCAAUAUCAUGUUAUGACUCCUGACAUGCAAACAGUCAUGCCAAUCCCAGUGAAUAGAGACCAUGCUCAACCUAUACUCUUUCCUGCUGUUAGCUCAUCAGUGGACCCUAGGAGUCAGCUUCAGACUAUUCUCAUGUCUAACAAUAACAUAGUGUUGGGCUCUAGGAAACAAGUACAGACUGUGCUGGUUCCAAAUAGUGGUGGUGGGAAUAGUAUCCAACAGCUCCAAACAGCCUUAUUGUCUGAAAACAUAGUGUUGGACUCUAGGAAACAAAUCCAGACACUUCUGGUUCCUAGCAAUGGUGGAAGGAGUAGUAUUCAACAGCUUCAGACAGCUUUAUUGUCUGAAAACACUAUUGUAUUUGACCCUAGGAAGCAAGUCCAGACCCUCUUGGUUCCUAGUAGCAUUGGAGGAAAUAGUAUUCAAGAACUCCAACCAAUUGUGUUGCCAGUUAAUAGCAGUAUUGCAAAGUCUGGUCAACAGGUACAAACAAUAAUUGUUCCUGCCAACAGAGCUCUUCCUAGCCAAGGAACUGUUUUUCAGACAGUUAUAGUGCCAUCUACAGAUGUAGAGGCUCAGCCUAAUCACUCUGCACAUGCUUUUGUUUUACCUGAUAUAAACACCCUAAGUCAUAUCCAGGCUGUUUCUCCUAAUGCAGCAUCUGUGACAGACUCCAGCUGUCAGUUUCAAGUGUUGCUGACUCCAUCUGCCACAGAAUCUCUAGAAGUGAUCCAGCAACAAAGAAACGUAGUAGCAAUCCCAGUAUCAGAAGUGCUAGUUCCUAGUUCUAAUACCACUUCAGAAGCAUUGACUUUGUUGGCUGACUCCCAGUCUGUUUCAAAUAACCUGCUGUUUUACUUACCCCAGGAAGGAUUGGUUGUUGAAGUGCCUAAUUCCCAUAAUGAAGAACAAGCACGCCAGUGGUAUCAGGAUUCAGAAAUAGUUUGUCGAGGACUUGCAGCCUUGAGACAAGUGUUACCACAGUUACUUAGCUUUGAGAAUAUAACCUUGAAUAGCCCAACAGGGACCUCACCACAACAGACUUUCCAAACUAGCCCUGUAGAUAUGGUAUGUCAAGAGGAACCAGCAAUAGCAGAUGAAAACAUCCAGAAUGUUGGUUAGUUUUGGAUAUGAGGCUUGCAUUAACAGUGUAAUGAGAUUCUUGAAGAAUGGGCUGUGUUAGUCUUUCUAUAAGCAAGACUAACUAUAUCAAGGGAUGCUUUCUGACCUAUGAUAUGCUACUAUCAUGAAAAGUCAUGUCUUUGUGGAUGUUUUGCUAUGUUGAGAUGUCCUAUGUAUCAUAGGUCUGCUCUGCUAUGUUGAGAUGUUAAAGGAUACUCUACCAUGGUGUGAUGUCCUAUACCUGAGAAUGCUCUGCUAUGCUGAGAUGUCAAGAAUACAAGUGAUGGUCUGCUGUGAGAAAAUGUGACAAAAACAUAAUUUAUGUGACAAAAUGUGCUAAAAUUAGACUAUAUAAAAUUUGUGAUAGUAUGUGACAUUAAUAGCACUUACAUGACAUGAUGUGUUAAUAAAUGGUAAAGAAUGACUUGUAACAAA